GACGAACGCUGGCGGCGUGCUAAACACAUGCAAGUCGAACGGUAAGGCCCUUCGGGGUACACGAGUGGCGAACGGGUGAGUAACACGUGGGUGAUCUGCCCUGCACUUCGGGAUAAGCCUGGGAAACUGGGUCUAAUACCGGAUAGGACCACUGCCUGCAUGGGUGGUGGUGGAAAGCUUUUGCGGUGUGGGAUGGGCCCGCGGCCUAUCAGCUUGUUGGUGGGGUGAUGGCCUACCAAGGCGACGACGGGUAGCCGGCCUGGGAGGGUGACCGGCCACACCGGGACUGGGAGACGGCCCAGACUCCUACGGGAGGCAGCAGUGGGGAAUAUUGCACAAUGGGCGCAAGCCUGAUGCAGCGACGCCGCGUGAGGGAUGACGGCCUUCGGGUUGUAAAUCUCUUUCAGCACCGACGAAGCGCAAGUGACGGUAGGUGCAGAAGAAGGACCGGCCAACUACGUGCCAGCAGCAGCCGUAA
RNAcentral lists this ribosomal RNA (478 nucleotides) under uncultured bacterium. RNAcentral describes it as "partial 16S ribosomal RNA". It matches the Rfam family "Bacterial small subunit ribosomal RNA", at positions 28 to 523 of the family's 1533-position model. The record is from RNAcentral.